RNAcentral lists this ribosomal RNA (492 nucleotides) under uncultured bacterium. RNAcentral describes it as "partial 16S ribosomal RNA". It matches the Rfam family "Bacterial small subunit ribosomal RNA", at positions 29 to 507 of the family's 1533-position model. The record is from RNAcentral.
AGUGAACGCUGGCGGUAGGCCUAACACAUGCAAGUCGAACGGCAGCACAGUAAGAGCUUGCUCUUACGGGUGGCGAGUGGCGGACGGGUGAGGAAUACAUCGGAAUCUACUUUUUCGUGGGGGAUAACGUAGUGAAACUUACGCUAAUACCGCAUACGACCUACGGGUGAAAGCAGGGGAUCUUCGGACCUUGCGCGAUUGAAUGAGCCGAUGUCGGAUUAGCUAGUUGGCGGGGUAAAGGCCCACCAAGGCGACGAUCCGUAGCUGGUCUGAGAGGAUGAUCAGCCACACUGGAACUGAGACACGGUCCAGACUCCUACGGGAGGCAGCAGUGGGGAAUAUUGGACAAUGGGCGCAAGCCUGAUCCAGCCAUACCGCGUGGGUGAAGAAGGCCUUCGGGUUGUAAAGCCCUUUUGUUGGGAAAGAAAAGCGGCAGGUUAAUACCCCGCUGUUCUGACGGUACCCAAAGAAUAAGCACCGGCUAACUUCGUG